CCUACGGGGGGCUGCAGUAGGGAAUUUUGCGCAAUGGGGGAAACCCUGACGCAGCAACGCCGCGUGAUCGAUGAAGCCCUUCGGGGUGUAAAGAUCUGUCAGUGGGGACGAAACCUGACGGUACCCACAGAGGAAGCACCGGCUACACCCGGGCCAGAAGCCGUGGUAAUACGGGGGGUGCAAGCGUUGUCCGGAUACAGUGGGCGUAAAGUGUUCGUAGGUGGCACGUUCAGUCUGGUGUUAAAGGCGGAAGCUCAACUUCCGUAGCGCCCUGGAUAUUAGCGAGCUUGAAUGCGGUAGAGGUAAAGGGAAUUCCUGGUGUAGCGGUGAAAUGCGUAGAUAUCAGGAGGAACAUCGGUGGCGUAGGCGCUUUACUGGGCCGUAAUUGACACUGAGGAACGAAAGCCGGGGUAGCAAAUGGGAUUAGAUACCCUUGUAGUC
Molecule: ribosomal RNA, 441 nt
Filed under: uncultured bacterium
Lineage: Bacteria
Description: partial 16S ribosomal RNA
Rfam family: Bacterial small subunit ribosomal RNA
Source: RNAcentral